This 140-nucleotide non-coding RNA is filed under the name Thalassiosira minuscula. The record is from RNAcentral. Lineage: Eukaryota; Bacillariophyta; Thalassiosirophyceae; Thalassiosirales; Thalassiosiraceae.
GGUUACAUCGUAUGGUUCGACGCCGGCUGCUUUAUCUACCACUCUCGUUUAAUCUUAUAUGUUAAACGAAAGAAGGCACAUACAUAAUGAUGCAAAAUAUGUUUUAUAUAAAUCUAGAUUACACGAGGCAAAUAAAAAAA